GUUUCUAUAGGCCACCAGCCAAACCGAUACGCACACCAAGGGACGUGUCCCGUGUUUGCCACCACCUAUCACUCUCCGCUCAACCAAGCACGCCGCCUGCUCUUUCCGAUUCGCACCCGCAAAAAAAACACCACCAACAAUGCUCUCCAACAACAUCGCCGCUUCCGUUGGGCUCAUCUUUGUGGGUGCCGCGGCCGCCACAAUCAUUGGCGUGGCGGUCGUCGCCUAUGCCGUGCGCGACUAUGAAGCAUUCAAGCCAUGAGCCUACAGCAACGCCCAUCGACCACGGCAACAUUCAUAGGGUUGCUCGCUGUCCUCCUUUUCUGUAUCGUCAAUAAAAAUUUAAAAAAACUCCUUGUUGUACGGCAGGUCACCCC
RNAcentral lists this long non-coding RNA (377 nucleotides) under Pandoravirus salinus. RNAcentral describes it as "putative ncRNA". The record is from RNAcentral.